ACGGGUCGCUUACAACCAUUACGCCAGCAUCCUAGCCGAAGCGCGGACCUCAGUCCCGGCUGGCCGUAUUACACCCUGGGCUAUAACACCUCCACCGAAGUGGAGGCCACAUUCCCAGAGCCUUUAUCCGGCCGCCGAAACUGAUGCUGGCCUGUCCAAACUGAGUAAACCGGUCAGAAGACCGGCCGAACAGUUUAAACAAGUCUGAUUGCAAGCGCUUCCCUUUCAACAAUUUCACGUGCUUUUUAACUCUCUUUCCAAAGUGCUUUUCAUCUUUCGAUCACUCUACUUGUGCGCUAUCGGUCUCUCGCCAAUAUUUAGCUUUAGAAGAAAUUUACCUCCCAUUUAGAGCUGCAUUCCCAAACAACUCGACUCGUCGAAGGAGAUUUACAUAGGGUGCCAUUUCCUGUCACAUACGGGAUUCUCACCCUCUAUGACGUCCUGUUCCAAGGAACUUAGACAGGCGGCUUCCCCAAAUCAUCCUCUACAAAUUACAAUGCGAACCCGAAGGCUAGCUUUCAAAUUUGAGCUGUUGCCGCUUCACUCGCCGUUACUAGG
Molecule: ribosomal RNA, 558 nt
Filed under: Aureobasidium proteae
Lineage: Eukaryota; Fungi; Ascomycota; Dothideomycetes; Dothideales; Saccotheciaceae
Description: partial 26S ribosomal RNA
Source: RNAcentral